UUUGCCUCCUAGGCUUUCCAGUGACACUUCGCAUUAACGCGGGACGCGGCAGCGCUUGUGAAGAUAUAUCGCACACCUUUUACAUUAGGUUAGUCUAAAUAUUUACUUUGUAUGCUGAGCCACGGCGACUAAAGGACUGCUUUCCGUUUUCGGAGUUCGCAUCGGGUUAUGAAACCUCUGAACGAGCUUAGCCUAGGGUAACACGUCCUGCUGUGAUAGGGUCAUGAAAAUAGCUGUUUGGCAUCCGUUACGGCAUUCGUGAUGACGACAAUAGCAGUAAUGUGUGACCGACGCGCCCGACUAAAUACUCCACCUACGUGGCAGCUCUAGGCUUUAAGGGAUGUGAUUUGGGUUUGAAACAGGUAAGAUUUCUGGAAUAACUUGGAGGCUCGCUUUGGGAAAACGCAUGUCCCUUUCGUACUUUCGUUGAGUACGUGGCCAUCGCUCUGAAGAAGUCUGCCCAGGCGACCAGUAGGGCUUGUUCGCAAAUUAUGGCCUCAAAGUUUUGCAAUCUGUUUGGAACGGGAAGUUGGGAGAGACCUUCAACUGUCAGUUCCUACCCGGCUCCAAACCAGUUACAGGAAAGCUUCAAGAGCUAACCUGUCCUGGAAAACGUUUAGGAAGGAGGUAGCUUCUAGAUGGUCAGAUUAUAUUAAAUAAUCAUGAUUGGGUGUUUCUGGUGAAGCAGCUGACUGCGUUUAUUGCGGCUUCGUAGGGUGACCGGCCAUACGGUGGCGAUUGUGGCUGGCUUGCCGUGCAUAACAUCCCGAAGGAGAAUGGUAGUGUGCACGCCGUAGUCUGGAGGAAAUACGGCGCCGGUGCGUGUGCGUUUGUGGAAGUGUAACACGGGGUCUGGAA
RNAcentral lists this long non-coding RNA (858 nucleotides) under Volvox carteri. RNAcentral describes it as "long non-coding RNA (VCAR_LNC000458)". The record is from RNAcentral. Lineage: Eukaryota; Viridiplantae; Chlorophyta; Chlorophyceae; Chlamydomonadales; Volvocaceae.